CCUACGGGUGGCAGCAGUGGGGAAUAUUGCACAAUGGGGGAAACCCUGAUGCAGCGACGCCGCGUGAAGGAUGAAGUAUUUCGGUAUGUAAACUUCUAUCAGCAGGGAAGAAAAUGACGGUACCUGACUAAGGAGCCCCGGCUAACUACGUGCCAGCAGCCGCGGUAAUACGUAGGGGGCAAGCGUUAUCCGGAUUUACUGGGUGUAAAGGGAGCGUAGACGGCAUGGCAAGUCUGAUGUGAAAACCCGGGGCUCAACCCCGGGACUGCAUUGGAAACUGUCAGGCUAGAGUGUCGGAGAGGCAAGUGGAAUUCCUAGUGUAGCGGUGAAAUGCGUAGAUAUUAGGAGGAACACCAGUGGCGAAGGCGGCUUACUGGACUGUAACUGACGUUGAGGCUCGAAAGCGUGGGGAGCAAACAGGAUUAGAUACCCCAGUAGUC
Molecule: ribosomal RNA, 440 nt
Filed under: uncultured bacterium
Lineage: Bacteria
Description: partial 16S ribosomal RNA
Rfam family: Bacterial small subunit ribosomal RNA
Source: RNAcentral